UUGUACAUAAUUCAGAACGUAAAAAAGAAGCACGAACGAACUAUAUACUUAUCCUAUAUUAAAUAUUAAUAUCCAAUAGUGUGAAUUGUGGCAGCAGUUUCAGGUUGGUAGCGUUCCGGCAAUCUUCCCUCGGGAGCCUCGCUUUCGAUUUCAAAAUGGCGGCUGCGUGAAAUCGGCGUAUUGCAAUUCUAUAAUAAUUAUUUCUUAUGACAUAGAUCAUGUCAAACUAUAAGAUCACGUUGUAGUCGAGGGAGGAGUUCAUGGGUCGCAGGUGUUUGUUUCCGUGGUGCAAGAGUUCGAGGUUGUUGCAUGCCUUUCCCCGCGAUGCUGUCAGGUCUAAACUGUGGCUGCGGGCGGUUGGUUGGCCAUCAACUACUAACACAUCAAAAUUGUUUGUGUGUAGCAAGCAUUUUUCCCGAGAGAGCUACGAGAAUUGGAGAAAGGUGGACUUCGGCCUUGCUCCUGAAGGCAGUUUGCGUCUAAGCGAAGAUGCGGUUCCAAGACCCGAGGAUUUUUCCAUCCCUUCAAAGGCGUCAGCAACAUGUGAAAUGGGAUCCCAGACGGAGGAGCCCAGCACCAAAGAUGGUCAAUGCCAAACCAUCCAUGACUUGAAGCAGCACAGCUGGAAACCUGAACUAAAGAGUGAACGUGUGUUUUACAGUUUUCUACCUCUAUCUUUUUAAUGGCCUUUAGUUUAGAUAUACUGACAUUGGUGGUUUGUCCAUCCUUAUUGUGAUGUGUCAUAGAUUAGAGAUCUGGAUGUUACUGGAAUACAGAGCAUUGUUAUAGACUUGUUAAACAAUCAGUUUUAACAUUAAUACCUCAAACAAGUGGCUAUUUUUUUUUGUUAUUGUUAACCAAUAAUUGUAACUUUAGGCAAUUCUCUAUAGAUUUAUGAUCUUUUUUUCUGACUUUCUGACUUGCAAUUAUGCUAGUUUUAUUAGUGCCUAUAAAUAGCGUACCAAUACUUGUUACUAGUAACAUUUUAAUUCUUUGUAAUAAGAAUUGUUUGUUUCACCUGUUUUUAUUUUCAAAUUAGCACUUUAUAUGUAUGUAACAUUAUUUAUCAAAUACUAACAAAUACUAGAUAGUACAAAUUAUAGAGUAAAAGAGGUUUUAGAAAUGUGGGUGUCAAAUUUUAUAACAGUCUAUUACAACAAUAAAUUUGUGCUCUUUA
This is a non-coding RNA of Pimephales promelas (fathead minnow), 1177 nucleotides long. Lineage: Eukaryota; Metazoa; Chordata; Actinopteri; Cypriniformes; Leuciscidae. The record is from RefSeq and is a predicted model, not a curated record.